UGGGGUUGUAUCUCAGUGGUAGAGCUCUUGCUUCACAUGCACGAGGCACUGGGGUCAAUCCUCAGCACCACAA
RNAcentral lists this transfer RNA (73 nucleotides) under Marmota monax (woodchuck). RNAcentral's name for it is "tRNA.Val". Lineage: Eukaryota; Metazoa; Chordata; Mammalia; Rodentia; Sciuridae. The record is from RNAcentral.